RNAcentral lists this ribosomal RNA (561 nucleotides) under uncultured bacterium. RNAcentral describes it as "bacterial SSU rRNA". It matches the Rfam family "Bacterial small subunit ribosomal RNA", at positions 338 to 917 of the family's 1533-position model. The record is from RNAcentral.
CCUACGGGAGGCAGCAGUGGGGAAUCUUGGACAAUGGGCGCAAGCCUGAUCCAGCCAUGCCGCGUGAGUGAUGAAGGCCCUAGGGUCGUAAAGCUCUUUCGCCAGGGAUGAUAAUGACAGUACCUGGUAAAGAAACCCCGGCUAACUCCGUGCCAGCAGCCGCGGUAAUACGGAGGGGGUUAGCGUUGUUCGGAAUUACUGGGCGUAAAGCGCACGUAGGCGGAUCAGAAAGUUGGGGGUGAAAUCCCGGGGCUCAACCCCGGAACUGCCUCCAAAACUCCUGGUCUUGAGUUCGAGAGAGGUGAGUGGAAUUCCGAGUGUAGAGGUGAAAUUCGUAGAUAUUCGGAGGAACACCAGUGGCGAAGGCGGCUCACUGGCUCGAUACUGACGCUGAGGUGCGAAAGUGUGGGGAGCAAACAGGAUUAGAUACCCUGGUAGUCCACACCGUAAACGAUGAAUGCCAGUCGUCGGGUAGCAUGCUAUUCGGUGACACACCUAACGGAUUAAGCAUUCCGCCUGGGGAGUACGGUCGCAAGAUUAAAACUCAAAGGAAUUGACGGA